AGUCGACGGGAUCCAUCAAGCUUGCUUGGUGGUGAGAGUGGCGAACGGGUGAGUAAUGCGUGACCGACCUGCCCCAUGCUCCGGAAUAGCUCCUGGAAACGGGUGGUAAUGCCGGAUGUUCCACAUGAUCGCAUGUGAUUGUGGGAAAGAUUCUAUCGGCGUGGGAUGGGGUCGCGUCCUAUCAGCUUGUUGGUGAGGUAACGGCUCACCAAGGCUUCGACGGGUAGCCGGCCUGAGAGGGCGACCGGCCACAUUGGGACUGAGAUACGGCCCAGACUCCUACGGGAGGCAGCAGUGGGGAAUAUUGCACAAUGGGCGCAAGCCUGAUGCAGCGACGCCGCGUGAGGGAUGGAGGCCUUCGGGUUGUAAACCUCUUUUGUUUGGGAGCAAGCCUUCGGGUGAGUGUACCUUUCGAAUAAGCGCCGGCUAACUACGUGCCAGCAGCCGCGGUAAUACGUAGGGCGCAAGCGUUAUCCGGAUUUAUUGGGCGUAAAGGGCUCGUAGGCGGCUCGUCGCGUCCGGUGUGAAAGUCCAUCGCUUAACGGUGGAUCUGCGCCGGGUACGGGCGGGCUGGAGUGCGGUAGGGGAGACUGGAAUUCCCGGUGUAACGGUGGAAUGUGUAGAUAUCGGGAAGAACACCGAUGGCGAAGGCAGGUCUCUGGGCCGUCACUGACGCUGAGGAGCGAAAGCGUGGGGAGCGAACAGGAUUAGAUACCCUGGUAGUCCACGCCGUAAACGGUGGACGCUGGAU
RNAcentral lists this ribosomal RNA (751 nucleotides) under Bifidobacterium sp. HGH0123. RNAcentral describes it as "bacterial SSU rRNA". It matches the Rfam family "Bacterial small subunit ribosomal RNA", at positions 60 to 821 of the family's 1533-position model. The record is from RNAcentral. Lineage: Bacteria; Bacillati; Actinomycetota; Actinomycetes; Bifidobacteriales; Bifidobacteriaceae.